Non-coding RNA from Biomphalaria pfeifferi, 1052 nucleotides. NCBI's taxonomy places the organism in Eukaryota, Metazoa, Mollusca, Gastropoda, Planorbidae. The record is from the annotation of a GenBank genome assembly.
CUUUUUUUUUUUUUUUUGGUCCUGGAUCAAAGAAACAUAAGACACUUUUUAUUUGAAAACAAAAAGAAAGAAAAACAAAGACACUUGAAAUAAUUUUAUUCCUUUGCCAUUGUCUUGAUCUUUGUACUUUAAUUUAUUGGCUGAGGUGCACAUCCAUCAUUGGCAUGGGGCGUACUACACAAUGAGCUAAUGCAGUUCAGAGUAAUUGUACCAUUUUGUGUUGAUGAAUACAAGUCGUAGCCUCCACAGCUUGCCUAAGCAACUCAUCAACUGACAUUUUUUAAAAAUUUGAAGCAAAUAAUUAUGAUCCCAUGUGGAAAGUGAAAAGCACCAUUGAAAAUAAAAGCCUUUAGAAGUAGAUUAUUGAAUCCUUUGUUCCUUUGAUGUAGGCUUACUGCCAUUAAGUCAACUGAAUCACAUGUUGAUUUGCUUGAACAAGUUGUCGAGGCCAUCAGGCUGACUUGAAACAAAAGCCUCAGCACUUGUGCAAUAAAAGAUUGAAAACAUUCUCUGGGAUGAGUUUUUGUUAAUCUUACCUUUACUGUUUGUUGAUAAAACCAUGUUUGCAUUUAGUACCAGUAUAGGUAUUUUAAUGAUGUAGGUCAGUGGUCAUCAAACAUGCAAAAUUAAAGACCUUUUUUUCUUUGCUUUAGUAAGACAUUUUUAUGGGGAAAAAAUUUGAAUUAUUUAAAAUUACAAUCUCUAGCUUAAAUAAACUAAUGGUACUUAAUGUUAUAAUAAGUUAUAUUAUAUAAGCGGUAUCCUUAAAAAAUACAAAUACUUAACUAAUGUGCAUAAUGGCCUUCCAUUCCCUAGAAAAGUAUUUAAUUUUAGGUAUGACUCCAAAUUCCAUUGAUAAGCUAGUUUACUAAAAGUUCAUUCCUGAAAAUGAUUAAUUGCAAUAAUUAGUGUAGGCCCAACUAAAGAAAAAUAAACUGCAAGAGCUCUAAAUCCAGCACAAAUUUUUUACUUCACCACAAUUCUUUUUUUUUUUAAUCCAGCAACUGCUUUUCAAAGAUACCAAUAUCUAUACCAAAGGGCCAAAAAUAUUU